AGAAGGUAGAGGUCAGGUGAGAAUAAAGAACUGAGAAGGUAGAGGUCAGGUGAGAACUGAGAAGGUAGAGGUCAGGUGAGAACUGAGAAGGUAGAGGUCAGGUGAGAAUAAAGAACUGAGAAGGUAGAGGUCAGGUGAGAAUAAAGAACUGAGAAGGUAGAGGUCAGGUGAGAACGGAGGAGGUAGAGGUCAGGUGAGAAUAAAGAACAGAGAAGGUAGAGGUCAGGUGAGAAUAAAGAACUGAGAAGGUAGAGGUCAGGUGAGAAUAAAGAACGGAGAAGGUAGAGGUCAGGUGAGAAUAAAGAACAGAGAAGGUAGAGGUCAGGUGAGAAUAAAGAACUGAGAAGGUAGAGGUCAGGUGAGAAUAAAGAACAGAGGAGGUAGAGGUCAGGUGAGAAUAAAGAACUGAGAAGGUAGAGGUCAGGUGAGAAUAAAGAACUGAGAAGGUAGAGGUCAGGUGAGAAUAAAGAACGGAGAAGGUAGAGGUCAGGUGAGAAUAAAGAACUGAGGAGGUAGAGGUCAGGUGAGAAUAAAGAACUGAGAAGGUAGAGGUCAGGUGAGAAUAAAGAACUGAGAAGGUAGAGGUCAGGUGAGAAUAAAGAACUGAGAAGGUAGAGGUCAGGUGAGAAUAAAGAACAAAGAAGGUAGAGGUCAGGUGAGAACUGAGAAGGUAGAGGUCAGGUGAGAAUAAAGAACUGAGAAGGUAGAGGUCAGGUGAGAAUAAAGAACUGAGAAGGUAGAGGUCAGGUGAGAACUGAGAAGGUAGAGGUCAGGUGAGAAUAAAGAACUGAGAAGGUAGAGGUCAGGUGAGAAUAAAGAACGGAGAAGGUAGAGGUCAGGUGAGAACGGAGAAGGUAGAGGUCAGGUGAGAAUAAAGAACUGAGGAGGUAGAGGUCAGGUGAGAAUAAAGAACUGAGAAGGUAGAGGUCAGGUGAGAAUAAAGAACUGAGGAGGUAGAGGUCAGGUGAGAAUAAAGAACUGAGAAGGUAGAGGUCAGGUGAGAAUAAAGAACUGAGGAGGUAGAAGUCAGGUGAGAUUAAAGAACUGAGGAGGUAGAGGUCAGGUGAGAAUAAAGAACUGAGGAGGUAGAGGUCAGGUGAGAAUAAAGAACUGAGAAGGUAGAGGUCAGGUGAGAAUAAAGAACAGAGAAGGUAGAGGUCAGGUGAGAACAGAGAAGG
Long non-coding RNA from Oncorhynchus keta (chum salmon), 1178 nucleotides. RefSeq lists it as uncharacterized. Lineage: Eukaryota; Metazoa; Chordata; Actinopteri; Salmoniformes; Salmonidae. The transcript has 3 exons. The record is from RefSeq and is a predicted model, not a curated record.